Molecule: ribosomal RNA, 275 nt
Filed under: uncultured prokaryote
Description: partial 16S ribosomal RNA
Rfam family: Bacterial small subunit ribosomal RNA
Source: RNAcentral
UACGUAGGUGGCGAGCGUUGUCCGGAAUUACUGGGUGUAAAGGGCGUGUAGGCGGGGAAGCAAGUUGGAUGUGAAAUCCCGGGGCUCAACUCCGGAGUUGCAUCUGAAACUGUUUUUCUUGAGUGCUGGAGAGGAAAGCGGAAUUCCUAGUGUAGCGGUGAAAUGCGUAGAUAUUAGGAGGAACACCAGUGGCGAAGGCGGCUUUCUGGACAGUAACUGACGCUGAGGCGCGAAAGCGCGGGGAGCGAACAGGAUUAGAUACCCUGGUAGUCCCU